This 478-nucleotide ribosomal RNA is filed under the name uncultured bacterium. Its description in RNAcentral is "partial 16S ribosomal RNA". It matches the Rfam family "Bacterial small subunit ribosomal RNA", at positions 28 to 523 of the family's 1533-position model. The record is from RNAcentral.
GACGAACGCUGGCGGCGUGCUUAACACAUGCAAGUCGAACGGUAAGGCCCUUCGGGGUACACGAGUGGCGAACGGGUGAGUAACACGUGGGUGAUCUGCCCUGCACUUCGGGAUAAGCCUGGGAAACUGGGUCUAAUACCGGAUAGGACUCCUGGCUUCAUGGUUGGGGGGGGAAAGCUUUUGCGGUGUGGGAUGGGCCCGCGGCCUAUCAGCUUGUUGGUGGGGGAAUGGCCUACCAAGGCGACGACGGGUAGCCGGCCUGAGAGGGUGACCGGUCACACUGGGACUGAGAUACGGCCCAGGCUCCUACGGGAGGCAGCAGUGGGGAAUAUUGCACAAUGGGCGCAAGCCUGAUGCAGCGACGCCGCGUGAGGGAUGACGGCCUUCGGGUUGUAAACCUCUUUCAGCUAUGACGAAGCGCAAGUGACGGUAGUAGCAGAAGAAGGACCGGCCAACUACGUGCCAGCAGCCGCCGCCG